AGGAUGAACGCUGGCGGCGUGCUUAACACAUGCAAGUCGAACGAUGAAGGCUGGAGCUUGCUCUGGCUGGAUUAGUGGCGAACGGGUGAGUAACACGUGAGUAACCUGCCCCAGACUCUGGGAUAAGCGCUGGAAACGGCGUCUAAUACCGGAUACGAGCUUCCACCGCAUGGUGAGGAGCUGGGGAAGAAUUUCGGUCUGGGAUGGACUCGCGGCCUAUCAGCUUGUUGGUGAGGUAAUGGCUCACCAAGGCGACGACGGGUAGCCGGCCUGAGAGGGUGACCGGCCACACUGGGACUGAGACACGGCCCAGACUCCUACGGGAGGCAGCAGUGGGGGAAUAUUGCACAAUGGGCGCAAGCCUGAUGCAGCAACGCCGCGUGAGGGACGAAGGCCUUCGGUGUAA
Molecule: ribosomal RNA, 406 nt
Filed under: uncultured soil bacterium
Lineage: Bacteria
Description: bacterial SSU rRNA
Rfam family: Bacterial small subunit ribosomal RNA
Source: RNAcentral